GGACCAAGGAGUCUAGCAUGUGCGCGAGUCAUUGGGAUACUUGACUAAACCUAAAGGCGCAAUGAAAGUGAAGGUCCGCCGUGCGCGGACCGAGGGAAGAUGGGCGGUCCCGAGGGACCGCCUCGCAUUCCCGGGGCGUCUCGUUCUCAUCGCGAGAAGAGGCGCACCCAGAGCGUACACGCUGGGACCCGAAAGAUGGUGAACUAUGCCUGGUCAGGACGAAGUCAGGGGAAACCCUGAUGGAGGUCCGUAGCGAUUCUGACGUGCAAAUCGAUCGUCGGAACUGGGUAUAGGGGCGAAAGACUAAUCGAACCAUCUAGUAGCUGGUUCCCUCCGAAGUUUCCCUCAGGAUAGCUGGCGCUCGCUUCUCGCGAGUCUCAUUCGGUAAAGCGAAUGAUUAGAGGCAUUGGGGUCGAAACGGCCUCAACCUAUUCUCAAACUUUAAAUGGGUGAGAUCUCCGGCUUGCUUGAACUGUGAAGCCGCGAGAUAUCGGAUCAGAGUGCCAAGUGGGCCACUUUUGGUAAGCAGAACUGGCGCUGUGGGAUGAACCAAACGCUGAGUUAAAGCGCCUAAAUCGACGCUUAUGGGAUACCAUGAAAGGCGUUGGUAACUUAAGACAGCAGGACGGUGGCCAUGGAAGUCGG
RNAcentral lists this ribosomal RNA (645 nucleotides) under Aulacoserica sp. DA3059. Its description in RNAcentral is "eukaryotic LSU rRNA". It matches the Rfam family "Eukaryotic large subunit ribosomal RNA", at positions 663 to 1264 of the family's 3401-position model. The record is from RNAcentral. Lineage: Eukaryota; Metazoa; Arthropoda; Insecta; Coleoptera; Scarabaeidae.